Molecule: ribosomal RNA, 200 nt
Filed under: uncultured bacterium
Lineage: Bacteria
Description: partial 16S ribosomal RNA
Rfam family: Bacterial small subunit ribosomal RNA
Source: RNAcentral
AGAGUUUGAUCCUGGCUCAGAGUGAACGCUGGCGGCGUGCUUAACACAUGCAAGUCGAACGAAUACGACCGGAGCUUGCUUCGGUACGGUUAGUGGCAGACGGGUGAGUAAUACAUAGGAAUCUGCCUCGAAGUAUGGGAUAACUGUUGGAAACGACAGCUAAUACCGUAUAUUGCCUACGGGUGAAAGAUUUAUCGCUU